UAUGGCCAAACCGCCCUGAGUGUGAGUGAUCACAUCUGAUCCCAGAAUCUAAGCAGGGUCAGGCUUGGGUGGGAGAAUACAGGGAGAGACUACAGCGCAGGGAUAC
This 106-nucleotide ribosomal RNA is filed under the name Microtus ochrogaster (prairie vole). The record is from RNAcentral. Lineage: Eukaryota; Metazoa; Chordata; Mammalia; Rodentia; Cricetidae.